CCCUUAGAUGUUCUGGGCAGCGCGCGCUACAAUGGUCUUCGCAAACGGAUGCAUUCUCGAAGGAGAAUGCCAAUCUUGGAAUCUAUGCCUUGGUCGGGACAGUUGCUUGCAAUUUUUCGACUCGAACCAGGAAUUCCUUGUAAUCGUGAUUCAUCACAUCACGAUGAAUACGUCCCUGCCCUUUGUACACACCGCCCGUCGCUCCUACCGAUCGAAGAGUUAGGUGAAUUGUUUUGAUCGAUAAGAUUUGACUAUGGUCAACUCUCGUUGUGAAAUUCUGUGAAUCUGACUGUUUAGAGGAAGGAAAAGUCGUAACA
Molecule: ribosomal RNA, 317 nt
Filed under: uncultured eukaryote
Lineage: Eukaryota
Description: partial 18S ribosomal RNA
Rfam family: Eukaryotic small subunit ribosomal RNA
Source: RNAcentral